AACGAACGCUGGCGGCAUGCCUAACACAUGCCAGUCGAACGAGACCUUCGGGUCUAGUGGCGCACGGGUGCGUAACGCGUGGGAACCUGCCCUUAGGUUCGGAAUAACUCCCCGAAAGGGGUGCUAAUACCGGAUAAUGUCUUCGGACCAAAGAUUUAUCGCCUUUGGAUGGGCCCGCGUUGGAUUAGCUAGUUGGUAGGGUAAAAGCCUACCAAGGCGACGAUCCAUAGCUGGUCUGAGAGGAUGAUCAGCCAUACUGGGACUGAGACACGGCCCAGACUCCUACGGGAGGCAGCAGUGGGGAAUAGUGGACAAUGGGCGAAAGCCUGAUCCAGCAAUGCCGCGUGAGUGAUGAAGGCCUUAGGGUUGUAAAGCUCUUUUACCCGGGAUGAUAAUGACAGUACCGGGAGAAUAAGCUCCGGCUAACUCCGUG
Molecule: ribosomal RNA, 433 nt
Filed under: uncultured bacterium
Lineage: Bacteria
Description: partial 16S ribosomal RNA
Rfam family: Bacterial small subunit ribosomal RNA
Source: RNAcentral